GAUGGUAUAGCUCAGUGGUAGAGCGCAUGCUUAGCAUGCACGAGGUCCUGGCUUCAAUUCCUACUACUUUCA
This 72-nucleotide transfer RNA is filed under the name Camelus ferus (Wild Bactrian camel). It matches the Rfam family "tRNA". From Rfam's summary of the family: Transfer RNA (tRNA) molecules are approximately 80 nucleotides in length. Their secondary structure includes four short double-helical elements and three loops (D, anti-codon, and T loops). The record is from Rfam by way of RNAcentral. Lineage: Eukaryota; Metazoa; Chordata; Mammalia; Artiodactyla; Camelidae.